GGACAUUGUAUGUCUGAGUUAUAGCAACUUCAUUUUUCAUGGCGAAUCAUCGAAAUUCGUCAGGCCGCCACGGACACGCCCUUCAACGAAAACUCAAGAUCUUCGCAAUUUAACAUCGCAAAGGCCUUUAGAUUAGGCAUACCAAAUUUGGUGUUGAUCUGAAUAAAUCUCUAGGAGGAGUUCGUUAAAAUACAAGGCAUGCAAAUGACAAAAAUGAUGCAAAAUUUGCUCAUAAAAUUAAAAAUAACCGACUUCCUGUUGGGUUUCGGAUAUUGCUCCAAGAGUCUUUUUUGUAGGUACUGAUGCUUUACAUAUGUGUGCCAAUUUCCGUGCAUGUACGUGAAACACAGCUCGAGGGCUGUUGAUUUUCUUACGAUAGGUGGCGCUGUCGAGCCAUUUUGCCACACCCUCUUCUGAAACCUAUAUCAGACGUAAAUUUUCACCAGGUCUGACGCGUGUGCAAAGUUUCAGGACUUUUCGAGCAUGUUUAGGCCCUCAAAAAUGCGAUUCAUUUUGGAGAAGAAGAAGAAGAAGAAGAAGAAGAAGAAGAAGAAGAAUAAACAAAGCAGAUACAAGAGGGUCCUCACACCAUCGGUGCUCGGGCCCUAAUAAUAAACAAAGCAAUUCCAAGAGGGUCCUCACACC
Cyprinus carpio carpio is the source of this 645-nucleotide long non-coding RNA. NCBI's taxonomy places the organism in Eukaryota, Metazoa, Chordata, Actinopteri, Cypriniformes, Cyprinidae. The record is from Ensembl.